Molecule: ribosomal RNA, 1717 nt
Filed under: uncultured eukaryote
Lineage: Eukaryota
Description: SSU rRNA
Rfam family: Eukaryotic small subunit ribosomal RNA
Source: RNAcentral
CCAGUAGUCAUAUGCUUGUCUCAAAGAUUAAGCCAUGCAUGUCCGAGUAUAAGCAAUCUAUACGGUGAAACUGCGAAUGGCUCAUUAAAUCAGUUAUCGUUUAUUUGAUAGUACCUUACUACUUGGAUAACCGUGGUAAUUCUAGAGCUAAUACAUGCUAAAAACCUCGACUUCGGAAGGGGUGUAUUUAUUAGAUAAAAAACCAAUGCCCUCCGGGGCUCCUUGGUGAUUCAUAAUAACUCAACGAAUCGCAUGGCCUUGCGCCGGCGAUGGUUCAUUCAAAUUUCUGCCCUAUCAACUUUCGAUGGUAGGAUAGUGGCCUACCAUGGUUUCAACGGGUAACGGGGAAUUAGGGUUCUAUUCCGGAGAGGGAGCCUGAGAAACGGCUACCACAUCCAAGGAAGGCAGCAGGCGCGCAAAUUACCCAAUCCCGACACGGGGAGGUAGUGACAAUAAAUACUGAUGCGGAGCUCUUUAGGGUUUCGCAAUUGGAAUGAGUACAAUUUAAAUCCCUUAACGAGGAACAAUUGGAGGGCAAGUCUGGUGCCAGCAGCCGCGGUAAUUCCAGCUCCAAUAGCGUAUAUUAAAGUUGUUGCAGUUAAAAAGCUCGUAGUUGAACCUUGGGCCUGGCUGGCCGGUCCGCCUCACCGCGUGCACUGGUCCGGCCGGGCCUUUCCUUCUGGGGAGCCGCAUGCCCUUCACUGGGUGUGCCGGGGAACCAGGACUUUUACUUUGAAAAAAUCAGAGUGUUCAAAGCAGGCCUAUGCUCGAAUACAUUAGCAUGGAAUAAUAGAAUAGGACGUGUGGUUCUAUUUUGUUGGUUUCUAGGACCGCCGUAAUGAUUAAUAGGGAUAGUCGGGGGGCAUCAGUAUUCCAUUGUCAGAGGUGAAAUUCUUGGGAUUUAUGGAGACUAAAAAAAAAUUGGAGGGAAGGGGCCCCCCCCGGGAACGCUCCCCCUGUAGACCUGGUUUAGUCCCUGAUCGGGGGGGCGAGAUUCUGAAACUGCGGGGGAUCGCUGCCGCGAGGCUGUGUACCGAAGCCCGAGAGGGCUCACAGAUCAAGUGGGAGUCGGUAGCACGCCGCCGACCCGGGCGGGGGAGGGCUACUUGUGAUAUGAUCGGCCCGCCAGCCAACGCUGGCGGACUCCGUGCGUGGAGCUGCGGCUUAAUUUGACUCAACACGGGGAAAUUCACCAGGUCCAGACACAAUAAGGAUUGACAGAUUGAGAGCUCUUUCUCGAUUUUGUGGGUGGUGGUGCAUGGCCGUUCUUAGUUGGUGGAGUGAUUUGUCUGCUUAAUUGCGAUAACGAACGAGACCUUAACCUGCUAAAUAGCCAGGCCCGCUCAGGCGGGUCGCCGGCUUCUUAGAGGGACUAUCGGCUCAAGCCGAUGGAAGUUUGAGGCAAUAACAGGUCUGUGAUGCCCUUAGAUGCUCUGGGCCGCACGCGCGCUACACUGACAGAGCCAACGAGUACACUCCCUUGGCCGGAAGGUCUGGGUAAUCUUGUUAAACUCUGUCGUGCUGGGGAUAGAGCAUUGCAAUUAUUGCUCUUCAACGAGGAAUGCCUAGUAAGCGCGAGUCAUCAGCUCGCGUUGAUUACGUCCCUGCCCUUUGUACACACCGCCCGUCGCUACUACCGAUUGAAUGGCUCAGUGAGGCCUUCGGACUGGCUCAGGGAGGUCGGCAACGACCACCCGGAGCCGGAAAGUUCGUCAAA